This 187-nucleotide ribosomal RNA is filed under the name uncultured Methanomassiliicoccales archaeon. Its description in RNAcentral is "partial 16S ribosomal RNA". It matches the Rfam family "Archaeal small subunit ribosomal RNA", at positions 339 to 524 of the family's 1478-position model. The record is from RNAcentral. Lineage: Archaea; Methanobacteriati; Thermoplasmatota; Thermoplasmata; Methanomassiliicoccales.
UCGCGAAAACUUCACACUGGGGGCAACCCCGAUGAGGGAAUUCCUAGUGCUAGCGCAUUUGCGUUAGCUUUUCUUUAGUGUAGAUAGCUAGAGGAAUAAGGGCUGGGUAAGACGGGUGCUCAGCCGCCGCGGUAAUACCCGCAGCYCKAAGUGGUGGUCGAUAUUAUUGAGUCUAAAACGUUCGUAG